RNAcentral lists this ribosomal RNA (440 nucleotides) under uncultured bacterium. Its description in RNAcentral is "partial 16S ribosomal RNA". It matches the Rfam family "Bacterial small subunit ribosomal RNA", at positions 338 to 795 of the family's 1533-position model. The record is from RNAcentral.
CCUACGGGAGGCAGCAGUGGGGAAUAUUGCACAAUGGGGGAAACCCUGAUGCAGCGACGCCGCGUGAGUGAAGAAGUAUUUCGGUACGUAAAGCUCUAUCAACAGGGAAGAAAAUGACGGUACCUGACUAAGAAGCCCCGGCUAACUACGUGCCAGGAGCCGCGGUAAUACGUAGGGGGCAAGCGUUCGCCGGAUUUACUGGGUGUAAAGGGAGCGUAGACGGCAGCGCAAGUCUGGAGUGAAAUCCCAUGGCUUAACCAUGGAACUGCUUGGGAAACUGGGCAGAGAGAGUGCAGUAGAGGUAAGCGGAAUUACUAGUGUAGCGGUGAAAUGCGUAGAUAUUAGGAGGAACACCAGUGGCGAAGGCGGCUUACUGGACUGUAACUGACGUUGAGGCUCGAAAGCGUGGGGAGCAAACAGGAUUAGAGACCCCAGUAGUC